This 1092-nucleotide ribosomal RNA is filed under the name Triticum aestivum (bread wheat). Its description in RNAcentral is "partial small subunit ribosomal RNA". Lineage: Eukaryota; Viridiplantae; Streptophyta; Magnoliopsida; Poales; Poaceae. The record is from RNAcentral.
AUGGCAGCCAUCCUCGGGCGCGCCGGCACCACCGCCAGCGGCGGCUUCCGGCGGCACCAUCAAGAAACCAGCCGCGGCGGCCGUCGGCGAGGUGCGGUCGUCGUCGCGGCCGUGACCGGCGCCGCGCCGCAGGAGGGGUCGCUGGAGCGGCCGGCGUGGUCCGGGGAGACGCCUGUGUCGCGGCUCGUCGCCGCGCUCAUCGCCUUCAAGCCGCUCUACUCCCUCAUGAAGGUCGCCUCCCGCGAGGUCAUCAUCAGGACGGCGGAGAAGUCCAACAUCCCGUGGAGGGAGAUGACGAGGAAGGUGCUGGAGUCUGACGUGUACGAGGUGUUCGAGAGGAUAAGAGACCCCGACAUCGUCUACCCUGACUAUUAUCUGAGCCCAUUCCACGCCUAUGACGAAGGGAACCUAUCAUGGCUGGCUGCAGCUGAGGCUGAGGCCGCGACCUUGUCGAUUGCAAAGAGGGCCAUACCCGAGGCUACUUCCAUCGAAGAAGCGAACCAGAUUGUUCGGGGAAACUGGAUGAAUGCAAUUGAGGAGCAUCACCUCAAGCACGGGGGGGAAAACUGCCAGAUCAAUGACAUUUUGGACAUUGGCUGCUCUGUUGGAGUGAGCACCAGAUACCUGGCUGAGAGGUUCCCUUCGGCUAAGGCUGUUGGACUAGAUCUAUCGCCCUACUUCCUGGCCGUGGCAGCACAGAAGGAAGAACAACUGUCUCGGCAAAACCCUAUUCGUUGGGUUCAUGCAAAUGGUGAAGCGACUGGGUUGCCACCGAAUUCAUUUGACGUCGUCUCCCUUGCUUAUGUGUGCCACGAGUGUCCAGCACGAGCAAUAAUCGGAUUGGCGAAGGAAGCAUUCAGACUGCUUCGUCCAGGAGGAACCAUCGCCUUAACCGACAACUCACCAAAAUCAAAAGUACUCCAGGAAUUAUCACCCGUUCUGUUCACUCUUAUGAAGAGCACCGAACCGUUCCUGGACGAGUACUACAUGCUGGAUCUGGAGGAGGCGCUCAGCCAAGCAGGCUUCGUCAAUGUGUGCUCCGUGCUGACAGACCCCAGGCACAGAACGGUCACUGCCACUGUACCCUACUGA